RNAcentral lists this ribosomal RNA (254 nucleotides) under uncultured bacterium. RNAcentral's name for it is "partial 16S ribosomal RNA". It matches the Rfam family "Bacterial small subunit ribosomal RNA", at positions 524 to 776 of the family's 1533-position model. The record is from RNAcentral.
UACGGGGGGAGCAAGCGUUGUUCGGAUUUACUGGGCGUAAAGGGCGCGUAGGCGGUCAGCACAAGUCAGUUGUGAAAUCUCCGGGCUUAACUCGGAAAGGUCAACUGAUACUGUGCGACUAGAGUGCGGAAGGGGCAACUGGAAUUCUCGGUGUAGCGGUGAAAUGCGUAGAUAUCGAGAGGAGCACCUGCGGCGAAGGCGGGUUGCUGGGCCGACACUGACGCUGAUGCGCGAAAGCCAGGGGAGCGAACGGG